This is a long non-coding RNA of Pleuronectes platessa (European plaice), 288 nucleotides long. RefSeq lists it as uncharacterized. NCBI's taxonomy places the organism in Eukaryota, Metazoa, Chordata, Actinopteri, Pleuronectiformes, Pleuronectidae. The transcript has 3 exons. The record is from RefSeq and is a predicted model, not a curated record.
UCUUUAUGCAAAAAGGCAAAGAUGCAAACAUCAAAAUUGUUGUCAUUUACCUCUGGAGGCAUCUCACUAUGCAGAUAGUUCUGAUCGUAUCUGACCCAGACUGGUCUCUGCCUCCACCCCUGUGCAGCUGGUUUGGUAUUCCACCUGCGGCAGUUACCCUGGCUUGCAGCUCAAAGCGUUCAUGAAUGUGUUCAUACUCAAACACGCAAACAAAAGCUUGUUUGUAAAAACCCUGGUCAUCAGGGCCUGGAAGCUCUCGGAUGGAGAAAGGACUCGAGCCUGCAGCCU